GAAGGACGCGAUAAGCUGCGAAAAGCUGCGGUGAGGUGCAAGUAACCAUUGACCCGCAGGUGUCCGAAUGGGGAAACCCGGCAGCAGGAGUGCUGUCAUCCGAAAGGAAGGGAACCCGGUGAACUGAAACAUCUAAGUAGCCGGAGGAAAAGGAAUCAACAGAGAUACCCUCAGUAGCGGCGAGCGAACGGGGCAGAGCCCAAACCGGGGCGGGAAACCGCUUCGGGGUUGCGGACUGCUAACAAAUGGUUGGACGAAGCAGAACCAGUUGGGAAACUGGGCCAGAGACGGUGAGAGCCCGGUAAGCGUAAGGAAGACCAUGGAGCAGGAUCCAGAGUACCACGGGGCACGAGGAACCUUGUGGGAAGCAGGGGGGACCACCCUCCAAGGCGAAACACUGAUAUGGACCGAUAGCGAAUAGUACCGUGAGGGAACGGUGAAAAGAACCCCGGGAGGGGAAUGAAAGAGAACCUGAAACCGUAUGUCUACAAACAGUCGGAGCGCUUUACAUGCGCGACGGCGUGCCUAUUGAAGAAUGAACCGGCGAGUUACUGUUGCCAGCGAGGUUAAGCGGGAAACGCGGAGCCGAAGCGAAAGCGAGUCUGAACAGGGCGAUAAGUUGGUAGCAGUAGACCCGAAACCACAGUGAUCUACCCAUGUCCAGGUUGAAGCACAGGUAAAAAUGUGUGGAGGACCGAACCAGUGAGCGUUGAAAAGCUUUUGGAUGAGAUGUGGGUAGGGGUGAAAUGCCAAUCGAACGUGGAGAUAGCUGGUUCUCCCCGAAAUAGCUUUAGGGCUAGCCUCAUGGUAAGAGUACAGGCGGUAGAGCACUGAACGAGGUAGGGGCCUGUCCGGCUACCGAACUUAAUCAAACUGCGAAUGGCUGUACUUAUACAUGGGAGUCAGACUGCGAGUAAUAAGGCCCGUAGUCAAGAGGGAAACAGCCCAGACCAACAGCUAAGGUCCCCAAUGCCGUACUAAGUGGCGAAGGAUGUGGAAUUUCGAAAACAACCAGGAUGUUGGCUUAGAAGCAGCCACCAUUAAAAGAGUGCGUAAUAGCUCACUGGUCGAGAGACUCUGCGCCGAAGAUGACCGGGGCUAAAGUACGGAACCGAAGCUUUGGCAAGUAUCAUGAGAUACUUGGGUAGGGGAGCGUUCCUGCAUGGGAGAAGCCUGACCGGAAGGACAGGUGGACAGGCAGGAAGAGAGAAUGCCGGUAUGAGUAGCGAAAAGAAAGGUGAGAAUCCUUUCCACCGAAAGCCUAAGGGUUCCUGGGCAACGAUCGUCGACCCAGGGUAAGUCGGGACCUAAUCCGAGGCGGAGACGCGUAGGAGAUGGACAACAGGUUGAAAAUCCUGUACCGCAGGAGUCUGUUUGAGCGAAGGAGUGACACAGAAAGGAAUGCGCGCGUGCGAUUGGAAGAGCACGUCCAAGCUGGUAGGUUGUGUGGCAGGCAAAUCCGCCAUACUAAAAGCCGAGAAGUGAUGGGGAGCCAUUGGAGACAAUGGCGAAGGGGCAGGAACUAGGCUGUCGAGAAAAGCUUCUAGUGAGGACUCAGGCGCCCGUACCGAAACCGACACAGGUAGGCAGGAAGAGAAUUCUAAGGUGCGCGGGAAAACCCUCGUUAAGGAACUCGGCAAAAUGUAUCCGUAACUUCGGGAAAAGGAUAGCCUAAAGUAUGUGAGCUGCAGAAACGCAGGGAGCAGGAAUAGGCGGCAGAAGAGAGGCCCAAGCGACUGUUUACCACAAACACAGGCGUCUGCUAAAGCGAAAGCUGACGUAUAGAUGCUGACACCUGCCCGGUGCUGGAAGGUUAAGAGGACGUGUUAGCCGUAAGGCGAAGCAGAGAAUUGAAGCCCCAGUAAACGGCGGCCGUAACUAUAACGGUCCUAAGGUAGCGAAAUUCCUUGUCGGGUAAGUUCCGACCCGCACGAAAGGUGUAACGAUUUGGGCACUGUCUCAACGAGGGACCCGGUGAAAUUGAAGUACCUGUGAAGAUGCAGGUUACCCGCGACUGGACAGAAAGACCCCAUGGAGCUUUACUGUAACCUGAGAUUGGAUUCCGGUAAGAGAUGUACAGGAUAGUUGGGAGGCUGAGAAACGGGUACGCCAGUAUCCGCAGAGCCGGUGGUGGGAUACCAACCUUGUUUUAUUGGGAUUCUAACGAGAGACGUAACGAGUCUUUGGACAGUCUCAGGCGGGCAGUUUGACUGGGGCGGUCGCCUCCGAAAGAGCAA
This 2237-nucleotide ribosomal RNA is filed under the name Megasphaera sp. An286. RNAcentral's name for it is "Bacterial large subunit ribosomal RNA". It matches the Rfam family "Bacterial large subunit ribosomal RNA", at positions 51 to 2300 of the family's 2925-position model. Lineage: Bacteria; Bacillati; Bacillota; Negativicutes; Veillonellales; Veillonellaceae. The record is from Rfam by way of RNAcentral.